UGAUUUUGUUUUCUCCCUGUUCUCUUUCGCGCAUCACUCUCUUCUCUCUCAUUUUUCUCCCUCUCCUGGUGUUAUUACUGUGUGCGUGCCUCUCGUGAGCGGGAAUUUGUAUUGUUGUUGUUAUCUCCGGUGAGUGUAGAUGGGGGUCUAGGAUUUUUGCGUGAAAAUCAGCUGGGUGUCUUCCCCUAUCCGUGAAUGUGUGUGUGCAAGUGUCAAUGGUGGGUGUUCGUUUUUUAGUAAAAAAAAUGGAAUUCCUGAAGAUGAGUGCUCUGUGAGAAUUACUGGUGUUUUUUUGUGAGGGUCAGUAAUGGAUGAGAGGCGUGAGGAUGAGUGGAAAGCAUUGUGAAUAAUUAUGUGAAAAAAUGGAAUUUUUGGAAAUUUUUUGUGUUCUCUAAUGGAAUCUGUGGUGCAUGAAUGAAGAUGAUGAGUGUUUUUUUGAGUGGGUUUCUGUGAGUAGGAAAAUAGAAGAUGAAUGAAGAAUCCUAGAAGUUCCUUGUGGCCCCUUCUUUUAGUUUGUUAUUGUGAGAAUAAAAAUGUGAGUGGGUAGGGAGGUGGAAGCUUUUGAUUGGGUAGGUUGUUAGUAUAAGAUAAAUUAGUUAAGAGGUAUUGUUUUUGUUUAUUUUUGUAUUUUUGUGGGAUAUGAUUACAUGGGGUUGGACACAUGGUAAGGUGAACUAAAAAUAAAUAAAAUUAGACUUCGGAAGGGACAAAAUU
This 714-nucleotide long non-coding RNA is filed under the name Capsicum annuum. RNAcentral describes it as "long non-coding RNA (CANN_LNC019963)". The record is from RNAcentral. Lineage: Eukaryota; Viridiplantae; Streptophyta; Magnoliopsida; Solanales; Solanaceae.